UUUUUUUUUUUUUUGGGUGUCACUUCGACUGUACUGUUUAUUUUGAUUGUGUUGAUAUUAGUGGCUAUUAAAGAAUUCGUUAAUUGUUUUAAGUAGUUUUCGAGUUUCUAAGUAUGAAGAUCUUUUAAUAGUUCUUCUGCAAACUUUGUAAUCCAUGUUACAUAAACAUGGCCUUGCAGGCUAGUUGUUAGUAGAAAAUAGAAACGCUUUUGCACAUGCUCUUCAAACUUUGAAAUUGCAUUAUCCUCAGCUUAUGUUUCCGUUCUUACCACGGAUGCAUGUAAAGUUUUACAUGAGGUCUUUUUUGUUCAUACAAUUGGGGCUUUCUUCAAAGAGGUGUAUUUGUUGAACUUUAUGAAUGAUGGUUGUUAGAAUUGAUCCCAUGUGCGUUUGUAUUUACAUGACCAUGAAGUUUGUUCAAGUCAAUUACUGAUUUUUUUAGUGGAUUCUUUCUAAUUUUUUUGUAUUAUCUACCCUACUUCUUGUUGUUUAUGUGUGCUGGUUCUUCCUACUUAUGCAAAAUCUUCUAGUUUGUGGUUGUCACUUGUGACAUGCACCUUGCACACACACAACACGCUUUGCUUGUUUCCUCUCUGAGUCUCCCUGACCACCAGCUCUCCUUGCCAGAUCAAAGAGAAGGCAACAAUGACGUUGAGACUUUCAAAAGUG
This 669-nucleotide unclassified non-coding RNA is filed under the name Hevea brasiliensis (rubber tree). Lineage: Eukaryota; Viridiplantae; Streptophyta; Magnoliopsida; Malpighiales; Euphorbiaceae. The record is from RNAcentral.